Molecule: ribosomal RNA, 429 nt
Filed under: uncultured soil bacterium
Lineage: Bacteria
Description: bacterial SSU rRNA
Rfam family: Bacterial small subunit ribosomal RNA
Source: RNAcentral
GAACCUUACCAGCCCUUGACAUCCCGGUCGCGGGAACGAGAGAUCGAUCCCUUCAGUUCGGCUGGACCGGAGACAGGUGCUGCAUGGCUGUCGUCAGCUCGCGUCGUGAGAUGUUGGGUUAAGUCCCGCAACGAGCGCAACCCUCGCCCUUAGUUGCCAUCAUUCAGUUGGGCACUCUAAGGGGACUGCCGGUGAUAAGCCGCGAGGAAGGUGGGGAUGACGUCAAGUCCUCAUGGCCCUUACGGGCUGGGCUACACACGUGCUACAAUGGCGGUGACAGUGGGAUGCAAUGGGGCAACCCUGCGCAAAUCUCAAAAAGCCGUCUCAGUUCGGAUAGGGCUCUGCAACUCGAGCCCAUGAAGCUGGAAUCGCUAGUAAUCGCAGAUCAGCACGCUGCGGUGAAUACGUUCCCGGGCCUUGUCACACCGA